This 333-nucleotide ribosomal RNA is filed under the name Triticum aestivum (bread wheat). RNAcentral describes it as "partial small subunit ribosomal RNA". The record is from RNAcentral. Lineage: Eukaryota; Viridiplantae; Streptophyta; Magnoliopsida; Poales; Poaceae.
AUGCUUCAGCUGGCUCAACUUGGUCCUUUUGACGAAAUGAACAAGUGGUUCCACUGUACUGCUGUUGUUGACAGAAUUAUGCCUGAUAAGCGUUGGUGGUUUGCUUCGUGUGGCGCAUGCCGCAAAUCCGCUAGGUUCCUCGGUGACCGGUGCCAAUGCUCAGACAUUAGCUGCACUUCUGGUGGUGCAGACCUAACAUACUGUGUUGGUGUCAUAGCGACCGAUGGCACGACGGAGGCUGAGUUUGUCCUCUUUGACAAAGUUGCGACAGGGGCCAGGGAAAUCUCUUGUGGCCUUGCUGUGGCAGAGAUACCCUGGCCAAGCUACGCUUGA